AUGCAACUAAAUAAACAAUCUUUUUAACAUCCAAUAAUGACACAAUUGCACUGAAACACAAUGAGAAAUACCAACAUAUUUAUGAAUGACAAUACUGAGUUAAGUUUGCUAACAAUGAUGUAGACUUACUUGUUAUCAAAGAUUCUAUGAAAGAGUAUGACCUACACACUCAUUUGAAUGUCCCCUUUGGUAUAUGUUCUGCCUCUUUUUACAGUAUAAAAGAAUAUAUACAAAUUUUGAAAUAUUUUAAUAAACAAAGUAUUAGAAAAGGUUAUUUGGCAUAAUCCUCUUGACUGGUUGGACUUUCAUCAAACAGAUAAUACACUGUAGACAAAAAACUAUCACCUUCCUACUUAGAGGUAUCAUUGCCAUUUCAGAAGUGACAUUUGUCUGCUAUCCAGAAACAUAUUCUUAAAUACCGAGACGAUAUCCUCACAACUUUUGUAUGAAAAAUUGCUCUUUACUAUAGAAUAUAGAAUAUUUUAGAAUAGAAUAUUUUUUAUUAUUCCAAUCAAGGGCCCUUGAUCACAGGCACUUGUUUCUAUCCAUACGAAGGUCGACUAUCCAUAUAAAUAGAAGAAGGUGGCUAACGAAAUUUUUUUUAGGUCACGACAGUCUCCGCUUGGGACGCUUUUUCUACCCUUCAACUUAAUGCUAAAAAUCCCUACCUUAUAUGAAUCGAUUCAGUGAAUAUUUU
This 697-nucleotide long non-coding RNA is filed under the name Mytilus galloprovincialis (Mediterranean mussel). Lineage: Eukaryota; Metazoa; Mollusca; Bivalvia; Mytilida; Mytilidae. The record is from RNAcentral.